UAGGGAAUAUUGCACAAUGGACGAAAGUCUGAUGCAGCAACGCCGCGUGUGCGAUGAAGGCCUUCGGGUUGUAAAGCACUUUUCUGAGGGAAGAGGAAGGACGGUACCUCAGGAAUAAGUCUCGGCUAACUACGUGCCAGCAGCCGCGGUAACACGUAGGAGGCAAGCGUUAAUCGGAAUUACUGGGCGUAAAGCGUGCGUAGGUGGUUAGAUUAGUUGGGUGUGAAAGCCCCGGGCUCAACCUGGGAACUGCAUUCAAUACUGUCUAGCUAGAGUAUGGUAGAGGGAAGUGGAAUUCUGCAUGUAGCGGUGAAAUGCGUAGAGAUGCAGAGGAACACCAGUGGCGAAGGCGACUUCCUGGACCAAUACUGACGCUGAGGUACGAAAGCGUGGGGAGCAAACA
RNAcentral lists this ribosomal RNA (403 nucleotides) under uncultured bacterium. Its description in RNAcentral is "bacterial SSU rRNA". It matches the Rfam family "Bacterial small subunit ribosomal RNA", at positions 355 to 774 of the family's 1533-position model. The record is from RNAcentral.